RNAcentral lists this long non-coding RNA (1676 nucleotides) under Gossypium barbadense (sea-island cotton). RNAcentral describes it as "long non-coding RNA (GBAR_LNC016880)". The record is from RNAcentral. Lineage: Eukaryota; Viridiplantae; Streptophyta; Magnoliopsida; Malvales; Malvaceae.
UCCGAAUACGUGUUUUCUAAAUGCUCAAUUAGGUAAUUUACCUUCGCUUACUUGGAAGAGUAUCUGAUCGGCAAAAGGUAUUCUGGAAAAAGGUCUGUGCUGGAGGGUUGGCAAAGGGGAUCGUAUUUCUGUUUGGGAGGACCUAUGGAUUUCGGGCAACGAAGAAGAUAGAUUGCAAAAUCAUCAAAGAAAUGGGAUUUUACAUUAGUUUCGGAUUUGAUUGAUUCAGUAAACAGAAAGUGGAAAGAUGAUAUAAUUUCUAAUACCUUCAAUGCGGAAGUUGCUAAGAAGAUUUUGCAGAUUCUAUUGGCAAUGUCAGCAAGUGAAGAUUUCCAAGUCUGGAGAGGCGAGCCUUCUGGUAAUUUUUCGGUUCGAAGUGCCUACACACUAUUACAGGAGGGUAUUCAAAAUCCUAUUAAUUUACAGACCGAGACUAAAGCUUUUUACAAAAAAUUAUGGAAUUUACAAAUCCUCCCGAAAAUUAAAAUUACAAUAUUGGGAAUCUCUUGGAAUUAUAUUCCUAAUUUUGCUAAUCUAAAGAUCAAAAGAACAAUUGCAGAUGCUCGAUGUCCCCGAUGCAAUCUGAAAGAGGAUGAUUGUAACCAUAUUUUUCGUGGAUGUCCUACAACAAAAGAAGUUUGGAGACUCAUACAGUUAUCGUGGAUUCUCAAUAAUACUGAAGAUACUUUUUGGAACUGGUUUACAUGGGUUUUCUGUCGUGGAUCAAAUGAACAGUGUCGUCUUUUUUGUUACGAGCUUUGAAUCAUCUGGACAAGCAGGAACAGAUUUGUUUAUGAAAAUAGACAAUCAACAAGCAAAGACAUCUCUUUUAAAAUUUCAGACUUUAUUUUCGAACUAAGAGGAGUGGAGGAAAAGAAACUUAUCUUGGCUGGAAAUGGCGAUUCAAGAACUGAAGUGAGUAGAAUGAGCAGAUCAGUUUACUUUAAUGCGGCAUUUGAUCAUCAACAUGCAAGAUCUGCUUCGAGAUUGAUUGUUCGAGGCGAGGGAGGGGAGAUUUUGGUCUCAAAAUCAGUUAUUCAUACCAACAUAGCAACUCCAUUCGCGGCAGAGGCACAUGCAGGGUUACAAGCCUUAGAGUUAGGAAGGUCUAUGGGGUUUAAGGAUUUACAAAUAUUAGGUGAUUCAAAAACGAUCAUCAAAAAGUGCCAAAGUUCAAAACAAGACAGAUCGGUCAUCGGAGCAAUCAUCAAUGAUAUUCAAGAGAUUAAAACUAGUUUUAACAGUAUCAAUUUUAGUUUUAUCUCUAGAACAGAAAAUUUUUAUGCUCAUGCGGUUGCAACAGAAGCAUUAAGGAAAGGAGAAGGACAUUACCUGGAAGGGGCGGUUCCGACUACCAUUCGACGAGCAGGAGUAAGGGUGAGCCCAAGAUUUCAAGAUUGAGAGAAAAGAUGUGACUUUUGGGUGGAGUAGCAGAAGGUAAAAAGAUAUGAGAAAUCUGCUAUUAUAAAAGGCUGUGCCGGUUAUGGGAAAUGGAAAAAUUAAAGAAGGCCAGUUGUUUCCUAUUCAACUGAGAUUUCUAAAAGCAUUCUAUUUUUCUUUUUCAUUAUUUUUUGGUUUUUUUUCCUUAGGGUUAAAUUUAUUUGAUUACUUUUGAGUGUUUGGCCACUUCGUUAAAGGUCUGUGAUGUUUCUUUUCUUAGUUUUGCUGUAAGUUUG